AUGGCUGAACCGGUUAAGCUAAUCGGCACAUUGGCGAGCCCAUUCGUCCACCGCGCCGCUGCCGCCCUGCGGCUCAAAGGGGUGCCCUACGAGCUGAUCCUGGAAGAUCUCCAGAGCAAGAGCGAGCUGCUGCUGAAGCACAACCCCAUCCACCAGAAGGUGCCGGUGGUUCUUCACGGCGACCGAGCCAUCUGCGAAUCCCUCGUCAUCAUGGAGUAUAUCGACGAGGCCUUCGACAGACCGCCCCUCCUGCCGACUGAUCCCUACGACCGCGCCACCGCCUGUUUCUGGGCGCAGUUCCUGGAACAGAAGUGCUCGAGGCCGUUCUGGCUGGCCAUGUGGCUGGACGCCCGCGAGGAGCAGAAGGGGUUCGUGAAGGAGAUGAAGGAGAACCUGGCGCUGCUGGAAGGGCAGCUUCAGGGGAAAAAGUUCUUCGGCGGCGACUCCAUUGCCUCGACGUCGUGGCCUGCGGGUCGGCUCACUGGAUCUACGCGUUCGAGGAGGUGA
This 507-nucleotide ribosomal RNA is filed under the name Triticum aestivum (bread wheat). RNAcentral's name for it is "partial small subunit ribosomal RNA". Lineage: Eukaryota; Viridiplantae; Streptophyta; Magnoliopsida; Poales; Poaceae. The record is from RNAcentral.